AGCCCACCUCCCACCCGUGUUUACUGUACCUUAGUUGCUUCGGCGGGCCCGCCAUUCAUGGCCGCCGGGGGCUCUCAGCCCCGGGCCCGCGCCCGCCGGAGACACCACGAACUCUGUCUGAUCUAGUGAAGUCUGAGUUGAUUGUAUCGCAAUCAGUUAAAACUUUCAACAAUGGAUCUCUUGGUUCCGGCAUCGAUGAAGAACGCAGCGAAAUGCGAUAACUAGUGUGAAUUGCAGAAUUCCGUGAAUCAUCGAGUCUUUGAACGCACAUUGCGCCCCCUGGUAUUCCGGGGGGCAUGCCUGUCCGAGCGUCAUUGCUGCCCAUCAAGCACGGCUUGUGUGUUGGGUCGUCGUCCCCUCUCCGGGGGGGACGGGCCCCAAAGGCAGCGGCGGCACCGCGUCCGAUCCUCGAGCGUAUGGGGCUUUGUCACCCGCUCUGUAGGCCCGGCCGGCGCUUGCCGAACGCAAAUCAAUCUUUUUCCAGGUUGACCUCGGAUCAGGUAGGGAUACCCGCUGAACUUAAGCAUAUCAAUAAGCGGAGAAA
Molecule: ribosomal RNA, 544 nt
Filed under: Aspergillus flavus
Lineage: Eukaryota; Fungi; Ascomycota; Eurotiomycetes; Eurotiales; Aspergillaceae
Description: eukaryotic LSU rRNA
Rfam family: 5.8S ribosomal RNA (bases 161-314)
Source: RNAcentral